Molecule: non-coding RNA, 145 nt
Organism: Gossypium hirsutum (cotton)
Lineage: Eukaryota; Viridiplantae; Streptophyta; Magnoliopsida; Malvales; Malvaceae
Source: Rfam
UGUUAAAAAUUUCAUCCAUUUAUACUAUUAAAAAUUUGUGUAGUUGACGGGAUAACCAAACAGUGACAUGUGGUGUGCUAUGUGUAUCUCAUGUUAACAUACAAGGACUAGUUUUUAACAAUAGAAAUUGAAGAAAAUUUUAACA